UAUCAUAAAUUUUCCCUCCCCCACCCAAUAUUUUAAAAUUGGUUUUUCGUUUUAAAUCAUAUAUUGAUUAUAUUCUUAAUUGCAAGCUUCCUAUAAUAUUAUCUAGAUGAUAUCUAAUGUUAUUAAGCAUCUGCAAAUUACAAACAAUAUGAUGAUAUACAUAAUUAAUGAAUGACAUGUAUCAUUAUGCAUAGAGUGACACUACCUAUUCUAUAUGACAUGUUAUCAUGGCAUGUUAUCAUCCAAAACAUAACAUAUAAAAAAAUAAUUAAAUAAUCUUAAUUCAUGGCUUUCCUAAAAUGAAAAAAUACAUUAACGUUAAGUUUAAUCUUCAUUGGGCUUCUUGUCAAUGUCCAUCGUGCAUAAACUUGUCUUUGUUAAUGGACUGAGGGAAAUUGGGCUUUUAAAUUUAUUAUUGGUCAAAUUUUAAUUUUGAAAGAAAGUAAAUAAAAUCCAUUUUUUUAAAAUAAUAAUAAAACUUUUGGACUAAAAAAUAAAUUUAAUGUAUUAAAUUUUAUCUAUGCAUUUUAAUCCAUUAAGCCCAAUUGAAAUUGAGCCUAAAAUAAAACUUAUAGGUCUAAGAAAAAAUUAUAAAAACUAUUGAAACCCUAAAAUCCUUAUUUGUAUUUUCCUUCUUCCCCAUCCCCAGCCGCCAUAUCCAUAAAGGAUAGCCAUUGUUCACCUAUCUCCGAUGCCGAUUCAACCGCCGUCACCUUGCCGGGAAGCCACCAAAUGACUCACGACACCUUCUGCGAGCAGCUGACGCGCGCACACAACCAUCCCUCGCUCGUGUUUACUGGCCACGUUGCCGCUGCAAUUGCUGGUUUUGUUACUUGCAGCGCUGGUUGUAGCGCGCGCUGUUAGCCACGCAAGCUGCGCGCACUGCUGCUACGUGUGCAGCGUGCACUGGUUGGUUACCGCUGUCAAAAUUUUCGGCCUUCAUUUCCUCUUAUCUGACAUCCGCGAUUAUUCUCCAUCAAUUUACAAAUUUCCUAGGCCAAUUUUGGCUUACAAAAUUUCUAUAACAGUAAAAUAAAUCAAGAGAAAAACAUGGUGAUAAAAGACCAUCUCUCUUAUUACAGGUCCAAACGAAAAAUACAUCAAAGAAUCUAACCAUGAAUUAAGACAAACCAUAAGCAUGUUUUAUUCAUAUAUUAAACAAAUAAUAUAUAUCUGAAUAAAUUGUGCCACUCUAACAUAUAAAUAUCAAGAUUGAUUUCAUACGAAAUUCUUAUAUAUUAAUAUGAGUUGGCUUUGAUACCAAUUGUUGGAUAAAAUUCUGUUUUUCUUAAAAUAAAAUUUUUAGAACCAAUCUCAUACAAUAAAUAUGAAUUUGUAAUCUAGAAAAUCAUAUCUUGAUAAUCUGAUUUGGCUUUUUCGCUGAGUUAAACUAGGCUCCCAAAUCACGAUUUGUCACCAUCACUUCUGUUAGAUCACGAUCCGCUACCACCACGCUUGUUAGAUCAUGAUCCGUCACCACCAAUGAUCUUAUAGGUUAUGACUCAGGUUUGAUCUGCACUUGACGUAUGGGCGCCUUUAUCACCACUAAAAGCAACUAGCAAGAGAAAAUUUUUCUCUCAAAAUUAGAGAGAAAAAUUCUUUUUCUCUUGAUAUGUAUAAUGUGACUCUUUUUUGGGGGGAAA
Molecule: long non-coding RNA, 1643 nt
Filed under: Citrus x clementina
Lineage: Eukaryota; Viridiplantae; Streptophyta; Magnoliopsida; Sapindales; Rutaceae
Description: Citrus clementina (C. clementina) long non-coding RNA (CCLE_LNC001531)
Source: RNAcentral